AGUGAACGCUGGCGGUAGGCCUAACACAUGCAAGUCGAACGGCAGCACAGUAAGAGCUUGCUCUUACGGGUGGCGAGUGGCGGACGGGUGAGGAAUACAUCGGAAUCUACUUUUUCGUGGGGGAUAACGUAGGGAAACUUACGCUAAUACCGCAUACGACCUACGGGUGAAAGCAGGGGAUCUUCGGACCUUGCGCGAUUGAAUGAGCCGAUGUCGGAUUAGCUAGUUGGCGGGGUAAAGGCCCACCAAGGCGCCGAUCCGUAGCUGGUCUGAGAGGAUGAUCGGCCACACUGGAACUGAGACACGGUCCAGACUCCUACGGGAGGCAGCAGUGGGGAAUAUUGGACAAUGGGCGCAAGCCUGAUCCAGCCAUACCGCGUGGGUGAAGAAGGCCUUCGGGUUGUAAAGCCCUUUUGUUGGGAAAGAAAAGCAGCAGGUUAAUACCCCACUGUUCUGACGGUACCCAAAGAAUAAGCACCGGCUAACUUCGUG
This 492-nucleotide ribosomal RNA is filed under the name uncultured bacterium. RNAcentral's name for it is "partial 16S ribosomal RNA". It matches the Rfam family "Bacterial small subunit ribosomal RNA", at positions 29 to 507 of the family's 1533-position model. The record is from RNAcentral.